Molecule: transfer RNA, 85 nt
Filed under: Felis catus (domestic cat)
Lineage: Eukaryota; Metazoa; Chordata; Mammalia; Carnivora; Felidae
Rfam family: tRNA
About the family: Transfer RNA (tRNA) molecules are approximately 80 nucleotides in length. Their secondary structure includes four short double-helical elements and three loops (D, anti-codon, and T loops).
Source: Rfam by way of RNAcentral
GCCUGGGUGGCUCAGUCGGUUGAGCGUCCGACUUCAGCUCAGGUCACGAUCUCGCAGUCCGUGGGUUUGAGCCCCGCGUCAGGCU